GUUUGCAGUGUUUUACAAAUAACUGAUACAUAUGUAUGAAAUAAAACAUUUCUUUCUUGGCAUGUCGCGGUGGCUGGCGUUGUUCAUUGGUCAGGCAUCGACCAAUAAAAUGUCUUCAUUCGCACCAAAGCCCCGCCCCUGGCUCUGCGCUCUCACAUCUGCAUAUACAAGUGCACAAGUGAGUUUUGCAACAGGAAUACUGCAAAAAGAGUAGCAAAAGUCAGAGCGCUAGGAUUUGAACUCGUACUGCCAGAUCUGAGAGGUUGUAAGUGCCGACUUGACGUUGUGCAGCGAAACUGAAGUAAAGUGCAAAAGUAAAUAUGUCGUAAACAUUUGUGUAUGUCAUUUUACACAUUUGUGACUAUUAAUCUACAACUUCCAAUUCAAAACACGGGUGUUUGAUCAUUGUCUGUGUGUGCAAAUUGAAAGAUUCAGCUUUUCACAUCAGAGCUGUGAGUGUAAAUUUCAACUUACAAAUACGAAUGUUAAUAUGACAAGUUCUCACAUUCAGAUGUCCAACCUCUCGAGUUUAGCUACUGAUUUACCUCCAUAUUUGAUCAGGCGCUCAGUAAGACAGGACGGUUGCUAUUGCAGUCUAGCAUUUGAUUAUAGCAGAAAGCUCUUUUUUCCGUUUUUUUGGGAAUCUGCCCCUUGAGCUGCAACCGCAUGGAAACCUCAGUCUGCUUCAUCACAAAUGCAGAUGUUCAAAGCGAGCUUGACCAUGAGGAGAGCCGCACACCUGCAGGGUCUCCUGCCAUCAUUACCCAGACUCCCCCUCUCACACAGUGACACGGCAGACCCCUACAGCACAUCCAGACUGGAACAGGAUAUGACAUCAGACAGAGAGCUGGACUCGCCACACAUGGAAGCCAUCAGAACUCAAAGUGCUUGUGUGAAGGGAUCUGAUCCAGAGGAGAAACAGAGGAAGUCAGAGGGGAGUUGGCUUUCAUACAUCUUAGUGAAACAGGUCAGUAAGUGACUCAGUCCUUUAUAUUCUCCUGUUCCUAGAACAUCCUUCAUUUUUACUCAUGAUAGGGUGUUACUUUAACUACGAUCCAAAUUUAAAUUUUUGUUAGAUGAAGGUCACAUUAAACAUCUCUAUUUAUGCAUUAUGCAGACACUUUUAUUCAAAGUCAAUUACAUUGCAAUGAUGCAGUAAAGGUACUGUAUAUAUAUAUAUAUAUAUCAAUUCAGUCAGUCCUUGGGAACUGAACCAGUGAACUACUGAACAGUGAGAUCAUCAGGAAUACUGUUUUGGAAACUUUUCACCAGAUCUUCAUCAUUUAUUUUUGCUUCUCUUUAAGUAAAGAUAUUUCAGUGUUUUCUCCAGAUUUUGAUUAUUUUCUCCCAGAUUCUAACUUUCAAUAUUUAAC
Cyprinus carpio carpio is the source of this 1373-nucleotide long non-coding RNA. The record is from Ensembl. Lineage: Eukaryota; Metazoa; Chordata; Actinopteri; Cypriniformes; Cyprinidae.